UGGGGAAUAUUGCACAAUGGGCGCAAGCCUGAUGCAGCCAUGCCGCGUGUAUGAAGAAGGCCUUCGGGUUGUAAAGUACUUUCAGCGGGGAGGAAGGGAGUAAAGUUAAUACCUUUUCUCAUUGACGUUACCCGCAGAAGAAGCACCGGCUAACUCCGUGCCAGCAGCCGCGGUAAUACGGAGGGUGCAAGCGUUAAUCGGAAUUACUGGGCGUAAAGCGCACGCAGGCGGUUUGUUAAGUCAGAUGUGAAAUCCCCGGGCUCAACCUGGGAACUGCAUCUGAUACUGGCAAGCUUGAGUCUCGUAGAGGGGGGUAGAAUUCCAGGUGUAGCGGUGAAAUGCGUAGAGAUCUGGAGGAAUACCGGUGGCGAAGGCGGCCCCCUGGACGAAGACUGACGCUCAGGUGCGAAAGCGUGGGGAGCAAACAGG
Molecule: ribosomal RNA, 429 nt
Filed under: Chloroflexota bacterium
Lineage: Bacteria; Bacillati; Chloroflexota
Description: Chloroflexi bacterium partial 16S ribosomal RNA
Rfam family: Bacterial small subunit ribosomal RNA
Source: RNAcentral